UUUAACUGAAGAGUUUGAUCAUGGCUCAGAUUGAACGCUGGCGGCAGGCUUAACACAUGCAAGUCGAGCGGGGGAAGGUAGCUUGCUACCGGACCUAGCGGCGGACGGGUGAGUAAUGCUUAGGAAUCUGCCUAUUAGUGGGGGACAACAUCUCGAAAGGGAU
RNAcentral lists this ribosomal RNA (163 nucleotides) under Acinetobacter baumannii. RNAcentral's name for it is "partial 16S ribosomal RNA". It matches the Rfam family "Bacterial small subunit ribosomal RNA", at positions 1 to 161 of the family's 1533-position model. The record is from RNAcentral. Lineage: Bacteria; Pseudomonadati; Pseudomonadota; Gammaproteobacteria; Moraxellales; Moraxellaceae.